GAUGAACGCUGGCGGCGUGCCUAACACAUGCAAGUCGAACGGAGCCUUAACCAAAGAAGCAGCCAGCUUGCUGGAAGCGGAAAAGGGAAAGGCUUAGUGGCGGACGGGUGAGUAACGCGUGGGUAACCUGGCCCAUACAGGGGGAUAACACUUAGAAAUAGGUGCUAAUACCGCAUAACAACAGAAAGCGCAUGCUUUUUGUUUGAAAACCAAGGUGGUAUGGGAUGGACCCGCGUCUGAUUAGCUGGUUGGCGGGGUAAAGGCCCACCAAGGCGACGAUCAGUAGCCGGCCUGAGAGGGUGGACGGCCACAUUGGGACUGAGACACGGCCCAA
Molecule: ribosomal RNA, 334 nt
Filed under: uncultured bacterium
Lineage: Bacteria
Description: bacterial SSU rRNA
Rfam family: Bacterial small subunit ribosomal RNA
Source: RNAcentral